RNAcentral lists this long non-coding RNA (16211 nucleotides) under Daucus carota (carrot). RNAcentral describes it as "long non-coding RNA (DCAR_LNC000939)". Lineage: Eukaryota; Viridiplantae; Streptophyta; Magnoliopsida; Apiales; Apiaceae. The record is from RNAcentral.
GCCAGGAACUAGAAUAUCCACUUGAAGAAGACUGUACUUCCUUUUUAGUACCAUUGCUCGACACCUCAGCAUUUACAUCUAGACCAGAAAAAUCUUCAAAGCUAAUGUUCCAAGGUUCUAUAUAAUUAAUCCCAAGCCAAAACACCUGAGAUCUGGGAAGUACUGGACGCAAAUACGGGGAGUCCGGAAAAUGAGUAUUUGGCAUGGGAAUACCAAAAAUAUAAAAAAUAUUUAAAUUAUACUCCAUUUCACACUCUCAUUUCUUAGCACUCACACACAUUUUAAAAGUGCGUAUCCUUUAUUCUAUACAUGAAUCCACCACAGUAUGCAGUUAACCAAUAAAAAAAUAAAUGGAUCUGAAUAUGGAUUUGACUAAAUCCGAUACAAAAAAAAAAUGAUUUAAAAAGGUCAGAGUCAAAGCAGUGGACUGUAUUAGACAUAUGUGCAUCACAUAUAUACAGAUCUGGACCAGAGAAGAGAUAGCAAAACAAGCAGCAGAGUGAACUCAGACAAGAGAUAACAGUCUGAAAGCGAAGUCACCGUCUCCGCUAGUAGAGUUGGGUAUGUAUCUUUGUAAUAUAAGUUUUGUUUUUUGUUUUAAUGAAUUAUUGCAGAAGCAUGAUGACUUAUUGUUGAACUUUGCAACCAAAGAACCAUGAAAAUGAUUCAAGACUGUCUCAGAGUCAUAUAGAAUAGUUUAAUUAAUAUACAGCAAAGGGGAAUAGUGAUCAGCAAUAGAGAAUCUAAUGUGCUCAUGACACCAAUACAUUUUUACUACUUUAUUACUCUCUCGAUCCUAUUUUUAACUACUUGUUUGGUUCCUGGGAGAAGAAUAGGUUAAAUAAAUUUAUAUGGCUGAAGCAAUUGUGUCGAUUGUUGUGGGAAGGCUCGCUGAUUUGUUGGUUGAAAAACCCCAAACCCUCUAUGAAGUGAGAGAUGAAAUUCAACUAGCGGUCACCGAGCUCACGCGGAUAAAGACAUUCUUACCGGACGCUGAUUCAAGGAUGGAUGUAGAAAGAAUCCGGAUUUUGCUCCGGGAUGUAAGAGAGCUUGCCUAUGAUGCUGAACAUGUUGUCGAAACUUUUGUUAUUAAAGCCUCAUCCACUAAAAAACCAUUUCAGCGGAUGAACAGAGUCAAGUUUUCUAGAAAGAUGAAAAAUAUACAGAAAAAGAUGUCCCUCCUCUUCAAUUUAUUUUCUGAUUAUAAUAUCAUACCAACUUCUGAAUCAACUUCCUCAAAAAGAGAAUCGGGAAAACUUAAGCGAUUUCACUCUUUCACUACUCCUGAACCACAGAUAUUUGUUGGAUUUCAUGAAGAUGUUGAGUGUUUGGUGCGACAUUUGGUGAAUGAAGCUGAUGAUUCAUACCCACUUAUAUCUAUUUGUGGAAUGGGGGGUCUGGGAAAGACCACUCUAGCUCAAAAGAUAUACAAUCACUCUGCCAUCAAGACUCACUUUGCUGGUUUAGCAUGGGUAUCAAUUUCGCAAAAGUGGCAAACAGAUCGCGUGUUGCAGAGAAUUCUCAUAUGUCUCGUCCCUGAGAACAAAGAGUCUAUCCUUAAUAUGGACAGUGACAAGCUAGUCGAGUAUAUGUUAAAAAGCCAGGGAAAGAAAAAAUGUUUGAUAGUUCUCGAUGAUAUAUGGUCAACUGAUAUUUGGAGUGCAUUAAAAGUNNNNNNNNNNNNNNNNNNNNNNNNNNNNNNNNNNNNNNNNNNNNNNNNNNNNNNNNNNNNNNNNNNNNNNNNNNNNNNNNNNNNNNNNNNNNNNNNNNNNNNNNNNNNNNNNNNNNNNNNNNNNNNNNNNNNNNNNNGAUGGAAAAACUGGGAAGGGAAAUGGUUGAACAUUGUGCCGGUCUUCCGCUAGCUAUAGUCGUCUUGGGUGGAAUUCUUGUAACAAAACCAUCGUUGAUAGAGUGGGUGAAGGUAUAUCGUGAUAGUAAAUCAUCCCUGAAGGCGGGGAAAGGACUGGGAGAAGCCUAUCAAAGGGAAAUAUAAGUUUUUUAAUAUGGAGCUACAAUGAUUUACCGCCUCAGCUGAAGCCAUGCUUUCUAUAUUUAUCUAAGUUUAGUGAAGAUGAAUCGAUAGACAUAGAGACUUUGUAUCAGCUAUGGAUCGCAGAAGGAAUGAUACUCUCGAGUGACAAAAGGGAAGGAGAAACAAUGAUACAAGUGGCUGAAUCAUACAUGGGAGAACUAGUCCACAGGAAUAUGGUUCAAGUGAGAUUUAACGAUGUAGAAUCAUCGCUUACAAAGUUUGAAUAUUGUUCUCUGCACGAUCUUAUGAGAGACAUGUCUUUAAUACAAGCAAAAGCAGAAGAUUUUUUUGAAGAAAUACAUUUCCAAAGUGGAAAUGAGUUUCAUCUCAAAUCUACUACAGAGUCAAGGUCAGCUUCCACUCGAGUUGUGAUUCGUUUGGAUGAGGAAUAUUCUAGCAAAGAAGCUAAUUACUACUUUUCCAAGAAACGCAAUCAAAAAUGCUAUCGAUCAAUUUUACUCCUCUGUGAGUUUGGGGCGAGAAGUCUGCCACGGGCACUGGGGUUACAUUUUGCCAAUUUUAGGUUCCUAAAAGUCUUUUCUGUGGAGAAUUAUACCAAUUUUUCUGGUGCAUUUUCUCAUUUUAAUGUUGGAAGAGCAUUAGGGUCCCUUGUUUACUUGAGAUAUCUUAGUGUAAGGGGCAGUAAUUUGUUGGUUUUUCCAUCUCUACAAAAGUUGAUGCUAUUACAAACUCUCAAAUUUGAUACGAAGAAGAAGAUAUAUGUUUUACCAUGGAUGCCAAGAGAUGUUCUGGUCAAGCUGGAUUGUUUGCGGCAUCUGUAUUUGCCUAAAGUUCAAGUUAACCUUAUGGGAAGGGAAUCGAAAUUUCGAUUUAAUGGGUUGAGCAAGUUAGAGACACUGGAGAACUUUAACGCUAGUUGGUGUGAGGUUAAGGAUCUACGUGAACUAAUCAAUCUUCGGAAACUAACGCUAGCAGUGAUAGCUAGCUAUGAUAUUCUGGAGGAAAUGAUGAAAAACUUGGCUGAUAUAGCCUCAUCACCAUCUUCAUGUCUGAGGUACUUGGGUGUUACUAUUAGUCAUUGUCAUCUCGAGCUGAACAAUGGUCUUACGAUCUUAAAACAAUUGGUAUAUGCUGAAAAUUUGAACCUUCGGGAUUUGAAAAUAUAUGGCCCUAUCCCAGAGGUGGGUCUAAUAUUUCCGCUGCAUGUAUCUACAAUUCGUAUUACAAAAUUAACUUUAGCGAGAUCACACCUAGAAGAAGACCCAAUGCCAAUACUGGAAAUGCUUCCAAUGUUGGAUGUUCUCCAUAUGUGUACGGAUACCUAUGUGGGGAAGGAGAUGGUGUGCUCGGCAACCGGUUUUCCUAAACUCACCUAUCUUUUUUUGGACAGCUUCCCGAACCUUGAAAAAUGGAGGGUGGAGGAAGGAAGCAUGCCCAUCCUUUUAUACUUGUCUAUUGAAAGAUGUAACAAGUUGGAGGAGCUUCCACGAGGCCUGGUGUUCCUCAACUCCCUUCGAGUACUAAAAAUAUUUCAAAUGCCUCAAGAUUUCAAUGAUAGACUUAUAAGAGAAGAUGAAGAAGGACCCGACUUUCACAAAAUUUCUCACGUUCGUAGAGUCCGCAUCGACGAUCUGGUAUACGAUUUCUUAUAAGGGAUGUUCUUGUAGGUCGUAACGUUUUCUGUUAUAAUCCCAAAGAACAAAUUGCUUGAGUAGCAACUUAUCAAACAAUCUUAUAUAUACCUUUAUCUUCAAAAAAAAAAUCUUAAAUAUACCUUCAAAAUUUUAUAAUAUUUUAUUAAAAUUUUCAUUUUCAAUCAUAGUUUUGUAUGAUUAAUGUAGUUUUUAAUAUAAAAGAGUUAAAAAAUACUUUUACAUAUAACUGAAUCCAAUUUUCAAUAAUAGCGACUGUAAAAAAUAUACUAGCUUAUAACCCGUGCAAUGCACGGGCGGUUAUAAUAUGUGUUAUUAUAUUAUAUAUAUUUUAAAUUUAACUAAUUUUAUUUUGAAAAUUAAAUCAUGAUAUAAUAAUAUGAUUAAAUAAAUUUUUUAUUUAACAACUGAAUAAAUUGUUAGCAGUUAAGUCUUUCAAAUAGCUAAUUAAAAAUUAAGUCGAACAUAUAUAUUUUAAUGAAGAUGUUAAAAUAUAUAUUUUUAUAUGUUAUAAUUUAAUAAGACCUAUAAACCCAGAUAUAUAUCGACCAAUCAAUAUUUCGUUAUUAAUGAUUAAUAAUAUCGUAUAGAAUAUAUUAAUAAGUUAAAGAGACGCGUAAAUCCAAAUAUCGACCUAUCAUACUGACUAAUUUAUAAUAUGUUAUAAAUUAAAGAGGUUCGGGGUUGAAUACCAACCGGAUCGCCAAACUCGACCGACAAAUUGAACUUUUCUUAUUUCGACUAAUGUUUUACUUUUAAUAAUAUAGUAUAGAUAUAUAAUAAUAUUGUCUUUUUUAUAUGUAUGUUCCAUGUGUUAUAUAUGUUUAGAAAAAUCCGAUUUUAGUUAGGAAUGUGAAAAAGAUAAUGUCUUUUAGUUAAAAAGGGUAAUUGCUAUCUUGUCCAAUAUUAUUUUUAGAAAAUUGAGUUUUUUAAGUUAGAAAAUAUAAAAAAGAUAAUAGUAUUAGUUAAAAAAGAUGUUUGAUUAGAUAAAUAGGCUCAUAACUCAGCCCAAGUACCGACCGACCAAACUUUGAAUGUUUCGACUUCAAUAGUAUAGUAAUUUUGAAGUAUUAAUAUAAUUUUUAUAAGCCGCUGCAACGCGCGGCUUCUCAGCUAGUUAUUAUAAAUACAGGAUUCCUUAAACAACUUACAAUGGAAGAUGUAAUAGUUUUAUGAAAAUUAUUAUUAAUAUUAAAAUUAAAACACUAACUUUUAUUAUUUAAAAGUUAAACAACUGCAGGACUCUAAACCUUUAAAAUGUGAAUUAAAAAAAAGUUCACUUUUUUCAACAAAGAAGUUCUGUUGGUGUUGAAUCGAAUUUGAUUGCAAGUUGCCGGAAUUAAUUAAUAAUUACAAUCAUAUUUUCAUAAGACUUUUAAAAAGAUAGUAACUCCAAAAAAUUCUACAAAGAUGGUGUAUCCUUAAUUUUAUACUCUUGGGGCAAAACAAAGUUUUAUAUUCACAACAAGCUAUCAGUUCUAUACAAUUACAAUCAUCAUAUCUAUACUAUAUUAUUGAAACCGAAACAUUAAAAGUUUGGUCGGUCGGUAUUUGAGCCAAAAUACGAGUUUAUCAGUUAUUUUUUAACUAAAAUAUAUCUUCUUUUUAAUAUUUUCUAAAUAAAAAAACUCAAACUUUCAAAAUAACAUCGAGCAACAUAGUAAUUACCUUUUUAACUAAAACAAUUAUCAUUUUUAGAUUUUCUAACUAAAAAGCCGAGCUUCUAUUAUUAACACGGGCUACAUUAACAUUAUUUUAAAAUACUUUAACGGUCUCACUUUAAAAGUAAUAUUAUAAAUCUAUAUUAUACCAUUAAAGCCGAAACAUGAAAAGUUCGGUCGGUCAAUUGUUCGGCCGGUCACUCGAGUUUAGUGAGCCUGUUAGUAUUCGACCCAUAAACAUCUUUAAUUAAUAAAAUAUUAUAAUAUUAAAAACACUCAAUUUCCUAAAAAUAAUAUUAGAUUAUGAAUAACAUAGCAACUACUUUUUAUGAUUAAAACACAUUAUCAUUUUCAUAUUCGUAAUCAAAAAAUCGUUUUUUUAAAAAUAACACAUGCAAUAUACAUAUAAAAAGAUAAUAUUAUUAUAUAUAAUUAUUAAUAUACAACCGAUGAUAUUUUUCAAUAAAAUGCAUUAAUGCUGUUUUUAAUUACUCCAUGUUAUCAUUUCAAAAUAAUAUCAUAGAUCUAUACUAUCUAUUUAUACCCUACUAUGCUAUAUUAUUAUUAUUAUUAUUAUUAUUAUUAUUAUUAUUAUUAUUAUUAUUAUUAUUAUUAUUAUUAUUAUUAUUAUUAUUCUUUUAAAAUUGAAAAAUUAAUAAUUUUAUCGGUCGGUAGAGUUUUAUCAGCCGCUCGUAUUAUUCUACGGGCCUCCUUGAUAUAUAACGUGUUCUAAUAAACUUUUUAUUAUCAAUUAAGUCAAAAAAUAUAAAAAUUCGGUUAGUAUGAUCGAUUUCUGUUUCAAUUAAAUUUAUGAUUUAAACGAUAAAAUUAUAAAUAUUAUAAAUCAACCGUGCAUGGAACGGGUUAUAAACUAGUAUUAAUUAUUAUGAUAGAAUAGUUAUUAUAUUUUAAUAUUGGUCCUGAGAGAUGAAAUUUUUUAUGAAUUUAGAAAAUUAAUCACUUUACAGAAUAUUAAUUUAUAGAAAUUUUACUAUAUUAGGUGUUGAUUUUCUUAUGUUAGAAUAUUAUUUAAUAAACAAGUAGGAUAAUUUAUAAGGAUUGUAUUGGAUUAGGUGCUGAAUUUCUUAUUUUAAUUAUUAUUUAAUAGGUAGGUAGCGUUAUUUGUCGUGGAUGAAAGUGACACAAAUAUUGAUAUGAGUCAUUUUAUAAUUGUUUAGUAAUAUACCGUAGAAUUCCGCCAGCUAAUCGGUUGUUAAACUUUGCUUUUACAUGCCCAUCGUUUAGUAUACAAUGAAUCAAUGAUUGUCAUUUAUUUAGGAAUUAAAUAAUGAAUAACUCACACUUGUUCGGUUUAAUCUCAAAUUAGGGUUUUUCUCAAAAAAAAAAAAAAAAAUCUCAAAUUAGGGUUUUGAGAGUCGACUCCCAAAACUGGUAGUCACUUCUCCAUUCUUCACCUUCAUCCUCUUCAUCCACCAAAUCCUUUUCGCUCUCCCAUCUUAUUCACUAUUUAUCAGGUUUUUUGUUUUUCAAUAAAAGCGAGUGUUGCUUAUACCUCGAAGAUUCCAAUCGAGUUUUAUUCUCGGAUCUGUUUCGGAUUUGAGCUUGGGCUUGAUUGUUUUCUGAAUAAAUCAGAUCUUUUGAAAUCAAAGGUCCGAUCAUGUUUUCCCAUCUCGCCUUUUGGCGUGUGUUGAUUUAGUACCCAAUUUUUGGGUGAUUCUGCGUUGUUACACUUGUGGUUGUUAUGUUUUUCUGUGUUAUCAGUGAGAAUGAUUUGGAUGGAGUUUUGGGAGAUCUAACUUAUCGCAUCAUUAAUACUUUCGGCAUGUCUAUAGCUGGCUCCCGGCAUGUAGAUAGCUGGGGUAUGCUUGGAACGGUGGCGAUCGCAUGUGCUCACCUUUCACAAAUUAUAGUUGUUCAUUAUUCGAGGACUCUUGUUACUCAUUGCUUAGUUUUUACAACUGAGUCGCCUGAACACCGUAACAGCCAUGGAACUAUUGUGAAGGUCAAUUGUGAAGCUACCAUUUUCGCGAUUGAUGUAGGCUGGAUUACUCGAGCCUUUGUAUUCAUUUUUAGUUUCAAUGUAUCCAGUGUGUUAAGCAGUCUGGAAACAAUGCGGCUAUUUGUUUAGCUCGUUUUAUUGUUUAUCAACCUGAUUGCAUUGUCUGUUGGAGAUUUGUCCCGACUAGACUUGUUUUAAUUUAUUGAAAUGAAUUUGCAUUUUGUCAAAAAUAAAUAAAUAAUGAAUAACUCCAUAUACAGGAGUAGGUUAAUAGUAGUAUUAUUCUGUUGAUUCCAUGCAGUUCAACUAUCAGGAAUGUUUGUUUACGAGAAGCUGGGGUUUGCUUCUAACUGCUUCUUUUGACCCGUUUGUGUAAAAAAGUAGAAGCACUUUUGAGAAUGCUAUCUUCUCUCUCACAGCUUCUGUUUAUUUUCCAAACACUUUAUUAACUUAUUUAAUUCUCACUUCUACUCCAUUUCUUUACUAUAAGCAAGAAAUUACAAUUUUUAAGCUAACUCAAACAGGCCCAUCAUUUUCUCUGGUGUAAACUUGACCGGUCUAGCUCGAGUAUAGUCGACCCAAAUUAUUUAUUGUGCUAGCUAUGCUAACACCGACUCUAUAACUAACAAUCCCUGUGGCGGGACGUGACAUCGAUAAAAGUUAGUAAUUAAAUAUUUAUAUAAAAGAAAUUAAAAUUAUAUUAUAAAAAUAUUUUAUAUGAUCUUUAAAAUAUGUGUGUAAAAAAGACAGUAAAUAAAUCAAAGGAACGGAAGGAGUACUAACUACAACUACGGCUAGGGCCCCGGAUGAGACCAUCAGGGUUGCUCUUACCUAAUUAAUAUGCUUCGGCCAAGUGGAAUAGCAGUGAACAAUUAUAGAGAAUAUUCUGAGUGUGCAGAAGAAAGAAACAAGUAUAUGCUGCUUGACUUCUUAUAUUACUGAUUAUUUAAUACGCAAGUAGAGUUAAUAGUUGUUGAUAGAGAUGAUGCAAAAAUUGAUGUUUUGCUUAUGCUGAGUCAUUUCAUCAUUGUUUAUUAGUUAGUUGUAGAAUUAUGAGCUGAUCGGUUGUUAAGCUUUGUUUCUACAUGCUCUUAAUUUGCGAGCUUCAUGCAGUUCAAUUCCUUUAUAUAGGGUUGUUUGGUUUCUGGCAAAGAAUAACAAAUUAAUAUGGCUGAAGCAAUUGUGUCGAUUGUUGUGGGAAGGCUCACUGACUUGUUAAUUGAAAAAGCUCUAAUCCUUCAGGAAGUGAGAGAUGAAAUUGAAGUCGCGGUAGCUGGGCUCGUGCGGAUAAAAACAUUCUUACCAGAUGCUGAUUCAAGGAUGGAUGUAGAAAGAAUCCACAUUUUGCUCCGGGAUGUACGAGAUCUUGCCUAUGAAGCCGAACAUGCUGUUGAAAGUUUUGUUAUUAAAGCCUCAUCCACUAAAAAACCAUUUCAAUGGAUGAACAGAGGCAAGUUUUCAAGGAAGAUGAAAGAUAUACAAAAAAAGAUGUCUAUCUUCUUCGAUUUAUUUUCUGAUUAUAAUAUCAGACCAACUUCUGAAUCAUCAACUUCCUCCAACAGAGAAUCGGGAAAACUAAAGCGAUUUCACUCUUUCACUACUCCUGAACCACAGAUAUUUGUUGGAUUUCAUGAAGAUGUUGAGUGUUUGGUGCGACAUUUGGUGAAUGAAGCUGAUGAUUCAUACCCACUUAUAUCUAUUUGUGGAAUGGGGGGUCUGGGAAAGACCACUCUAGCUCAAAAGAUAUACAAUCACUCUGCCAUCAAGACUCACUUUGCAGCUGGUUUAGCAUGGGUAACAAUCUCGCGGAAGUGGCAAACAGAUCGUGUGUUGCAGAGAAUUCUCAUAUGUCUCGUCCCUGGGAACAAAGAUUCUAUCCUUAAUAUGGACACUGACAAGCUAGUGGAGUAUAUGCUACAAAUCCAGGGAAGGAAAAAAUGUUUGAUAGUUCUCGAUGAUAUAUGGUCAACUGAUGCUUGGGAUGCAUUAAAAGCUGCAUUUCCAGCCGGGAAGUCCAUGAGCAAAUUAAUGCUUACAAGUCGUAAUGCUGAGGUUGCUGAGCAUGUAAAUUUAGACGGAUUCAUUCACAAGCCAGAAUGUCUAAGUCCCGAACAAAGUUGGGAGCUACUCAGGUUGAAAGCACUUCACACAGGAAAUUGUCUAGGUACAUAAUUUUACUUGCGGUAAUCAUGGUUCAUAUACUUUUUUUAUACCAUAUAUUUUGUCCGACAACCUUAACGAACCAUAUUUUUGGUUAUCGGAGUUUGAUAAGUUUGGUUAGAGAUCUUUCCGACAUCCUUAAAGAACAUUGUUCUGUUCAAUAACGUUUUGUUCGUGUUCGUUUGAAUUCGUUAGUUCGUUUACAAACCUGUGUAUUAGAAUUGUAAACGGAUCUAACAGUUCAUUAAGUGCUCUCUUGAGGUUGAGUUAAAAAACUCGAGCUCGAAACACAUAUUUUGUUUAACAACCUUAACAAACUCUAGAAGGUUUAGUAAUUUUUCUCGUGUUGACUCGAAGUUUAUUGGAGUUAAGGUCAUAGAGGGCUCUAACUUGAACCUGUCUUUUAAACAUUUGCAUUACUUAAACGACUAAAUUAGAAAUUAUCUUGGCUUAUGAGUGUAUUCCUAUAUAUACACACACAUUUGAUUCCUGUUUCUUGUUUGUUGCAGACAUUACCAGAGAUGUAAAAAGGAUGGAAGAACUGGGAAGGGAAAUGGUUGAACAUUGUGCUGGUCUUCCGCUAGCUAUAGUCGUUUUGGGUGGAAUUCUUGUAACAAAACCGUCGUUGAGAGAGUGGGAGAAGGUAUAUCGUGAUAGUAAAUCAUCCCUGAAGGCAGGUAAAGGACUGGAUAAAGACUAUCAAAGGGAAAUAUUAAGUUUUUUAAUAUGGAGCUACAAUGAUUUACCGCCUCAGCUGAAGCCAUGCUUUCUAUAUUUAUCUAAGUUUAGUGAAGAUGAAUCGAUAGACAUAGAGACUUUGUAUCAGCUAUGGAUCGCAGAAGGAAUGAUACUCUCGAGUGACAAAAGAGAAGGAGAAACAAUGAUACAAGUGGCCGAAUCAUACAUGGGAGAACUGGUCCAAAGGAGUAUGGUUCAAGUGAGAUUUAACAAUGUGGAAUCAUCACUUACAAAGUUUGAAGAUUGUUCUCUGCACGACCUUAUGAGAGACAUGUCUUUAUUACAAGCCAAAGCAGAAGAUUUUUUUGAAGAAAUACAUUUCCAAAGUGGAAAUGAGUUUCAUCUCAAAUCUACUACAGAGUCAAGGUCAGCUUCCACUCGAGUUGUAAUUCAUUUGGGUGAGGAAUAUUCUAGCAAAAAAGCUAAUUACUACUUUUCCAAGAAACGCAAUGAAAAAUGCUAUCGAUCAAUUUUACUCCUCGGUGAGUUUGGAACAAGAAGUUUGCCAUGGGCGUUGGGUUCACAUGUUGCCAAUUUUAGGUUCCUAAAAGUCUUUUCUGUGGAGAACUAUACCAAUUUUUCUGGUGCAUUUUCUCAUAUUAAUUUUGGAAGAGCAGUAGGGUCCCUUGUUUACUUGCGAUAUCUCAGUUUAAGGGACACUAAUUUGUUGAUUUUUCCAUCUCUACAAAAGUUGGUGCUAUUACAAACUCUAAAAUUGGAUAUAUCCGACAAGAUAUAUGUUUUACCAUGGCUGUCAAGAGAUGUUCUGGUGAAGAUGGAUUGUUUGCGGCAUCUGUAUUUGCCGAAAUUUAAAGUUGACGUUUUGGGAAGGAAAUCGAAAUUACGGUUUAAUAGGUUGAGCAAGUUAGAGACCCUGGAGAACUUUGACACUAGUUGGUGUGAGGUUAAGGAUCUACGUGAACUAAUCAAUCUUCGGAAACUAACGGUAACAGUGAGGGGUAGCUAUGAUAUUCUGGAAGAAAUGAUGAAAAACUUGGAUGAUUUAGCCUCCUCAGCAUCUUCAUGUCUGAGGUGUCGCUAUUGUUUAUUGUGAUAUUGAGCUGAACAAUGAUCUUACGAUCUUAGAACAAUUGGUAUAUGCCGAAAAUUUGAACCUUCGGGAAUUGAAAAUAUAUGGGCGUAUCCCAGAGGUGGGUCUAAUAUUUCCGCUGCAUGUAUCCACAAUUUGUAUUACAACUUUAAAUUUAGGGGAAUCAUACCUGGAAGAAGACCCAAUGCCAAUAUUAGAAAUGCUUCCAGUGUUGCGUGUUCUCUAUAUGUUUGCUGAUACCUAUGUGGGGAAGGAGAUGGUGUGCUCCGCAACCGGUUUUCCUAAACUCACCCAUCUUAUUUUGCACGAGUUCACAAACCUUGAAAAAUGGAGGGUGGAGGAAGGAAGCAUGCCCAUCCUUUCCUACUUGAUUAUUGAAAGAUGUAACAAGUUGGAGGAGCUUCCCGAAGGCCUUGUGUUCCUCAAGUCCCUUAAAAUAACUCAAAUGCCUCAAGAUUUCAAUGAUAGGCUUAAAAGGCAAGAUGGUGAAGAGGGACCCGACUUUCCCAAAAUUUCUCAUGUCCGUAGACUCAUUAUUGAUGAUCAGGACUACAGUUGAAUGUUCUUGUAAGUUAGGUAUAAAGUUUUGUUUUGGUCGUGAAGAACAUAUUGCUUGAGAACUUAUUUGAUCAUUUGCUUCUCAUUAACCUAAUUUUAUAUGAUUAAUAUAUUUUCCAUCAAAAUUAAUACUUUUACUGUUGAAAAUAAUUUAAUUAAUACGCAAAAAUUUUAAAAAAUAAAUUACAAAGUAUACUUUAUAGAAUAUUAAAGGGUUUGCCGAUUCACGUCCCCAACAUAUAUUAAUCAGGACGAUGGAGAGCGUAAUAAUUAAAUAAUUUCAAUAACCGGAUUUUGGACUAUAUAUUUUAGUUUUUGAAUGUUCGGUUAUUUUAUGAUGGUUAUUAAUAUGAGUAAAGAUUUGUAUAAAUUUAUAUUUAAAAAUUUAUGCAACAUGAAGUUAAAUAAAUUAUUUCAAUAAAUAAAUAUAGAUCAUCAUCAUAAUCAUCAUCAUUAUUACUUUUUAUAUUUUGGAACAAUUAUAAUAGUAGGAUUCUUAAACAAUUAUUUAAAAGUUAAACAUUUUAUGCUGAACUCUAAUCCUUUGAAAAAUAAAUAAAAAAUCACUACUUUUUUCAACGAAAAAAAUGUAUGCGUUGAAUUACAUUUGGUUGCAAACUUAAUCUUUUUUCUUGAAAAUUUUACAAAAAAAGUACAUUACUUUUUAGACUCUAAACAUAUGUAAAAAAAAAAGACUCUAAACAUGUGUUUAGAGCUUUAUUCUAAACAGAUUAUUAGUUCCAUACAAUUACGAUCAUCGGACUACUUUUCAGACUAUUAAUUCCAUACAGUUACGAUCAUGAGACUACUUAAAAGAACUACUCCUUUAGAAAAAGGCUCAAAGAACUACUCCUAUAGAAAACGGCUCAGCGUCCUCAGGUUCAUAUUCACACCAUAUUCUCUUGUGAACUAGGGGCACAAUUUUCAUCAUUUUCUGUCUUACAAGCAUGCAAUCUAGUCAUUUGAAAUUGAUCACUUUAAAGACCAUCCUUGUGUCUCGUUCAUUUUCCUUGAGGUGAACAAGAGUUAAACAUAUUCGGAAGCAAUAAAUAUAACAGUCUUAUAACAUAAUAUCGAUUUAUGAUAAUGUUAGACUGCAGAAAAUGAGAGGAAGUAAUUUUUCACUGACCAAUAUGUAAUAAGAUUUCAUGCGAUUGCGGCCAACACAAAAGAGUACAUUGUUUCCCACAUGUUGCCACAAAACACCAAAACUAGGAGACUUCUAACUCUUGACUCCACCCAUUGUUCAAACUUUUUCUUUGUGAUCUUCUCUUUUUUAUAAUAAAACACUUUUGGUUUUUCUUUUCUUUAUGGUUAAACUACAAUAUAUACAGCGUUUAGGAUGGGGAAACUGCUUUCUUCAAGAUGCUGAAGGCAACGAGCAUAAGCAGUGAUAUCAUGAUCUUCUUUGAAGCAAGAAUCCGCAAGUUCACCUUCAUGCCAUGGUCUCUCAUGAGCUUCACUGUUGCCCUAAUUACUGAAAUAAGCCAGAAUACAACGGACAAGAACACCACUUUCAUUGUGUCUGCAGGUCCAUUCACACUUCUUGUGCCUCCCGACACCUCGACAUAGGACCAAGCAGCGCCUUGAUUAUCGGUAGUUCCACUCUGAUUGAGGCCAAGUUUCUCGUUCAACCAACAUGAUAAAGUCACAAGCAGCUUUGCAAGCCAUGCAAUCUCAUCAUUAGAGACUGGUCGCUUCAACCAGUCACCCCUGUAUUUCGUACCGGUUUGCUUCUUGUUGCGUAUCAUUCUAGGACUAAAUAUCUCAUCACGUGGAUGCUGAUUUUCUCUUGUCUCGGGGACUGCUUGUGUGUUCCUUGGAGUAGAGUUACCAAAUAAGCACCCCAUCUGGGCUUUGAUAGAAUCUAAACAAGCCAUAUUGUGAGCAUGAUUAUCUCCCAAGACAGUCUGCAGCUCCGACUCAGCACGCAACACAAAGAGCUGCAAUAACAAUGUGACUAGUGAGUGAGACUUGACAUUUAGAAUGACACCAUUUCAGUUCCUAGAAUUUAUAUAGUUCAUACAGAUAUAUUUAAGUACACUAUAUGCUAAAAGAAGAGAGGGGGAAAUAAACCUGUAGCAGCUGUUGUCCGCCAUCAUCACCAUCACUAAAUAACUGCAAAUCUUUGUUCCAAUUCUCAUGCAAGAAAGAGCCAUCAGCGUCAUUUUCACACAAUCCAUCCUCCCAGUCCUUGUAAAGCAAAAAAGAACAAGGGAUUUACAUAUAAACAUCUGAGCAAGAGUAAAAAAUGCACGCGCGUGCCCACACAAAAGAGAUGCAGAUAUGUCUUUAUACCUGCAGUUGUUCUCUGAUUGAUGGAACAAAUCUGUACAAGUUGUUGUGCAUGGGUUUGGAUGACCCAGAAGGCUUAGAAUGGAAGACAGUGUCCACAUUCUUUAUAAGAUUUAUCAGCUCCCUGGACGAUGUCAAUAUGCUUAAGACCUGCGAAAGAAAUACAAGAAACAUAUACAAAAUAAGCGAAUGGAAACUAUAACGGACUGAUCUUGGGAUAAAAAUACAUACUGAUUAUAAAAGACAAAUUCUCACUGUUACCCUAACUCUUCAUUUUGCCUGAAUUACCCGUGUCGGACACUCAAUACUUGAACAUGGAUAUAGACAGUCCAGCACUUAUUUUAGGUAAAAAAAACACGUAAAUUUUUUUAAAUAUUGCCGAGACCGACACUCGGACACAUAACCAUGUUGAGCCGAGUCCAGGUAACUUAGAUUCCCCAUAUGUAAGCUUACCAGAAGUAUCCCACCGGCGCCCAUAAAUUGAAAGAAGCUCAAAGAAACUAUAAAAGAGGAAUAUAGCAGAUAAUUAUUAAUCUGAUAGCCUUGCAUCAGCUUCCUCUAUAAUUCAACACAAGUAGCUUUCUGUUGUGGUUCAUUCAGAUGUAUCCAUCAAGCAUUUGCCAGGACCAUGGAAGCAAUUUACGCUUCUAUAUAUAGUCUAUGCAAAACCAUGUUGAACAUCACUAACUACAGAACGAUUUGAUUUUAACUCUUAUUUAUCCUCUUGUGUUCUGCUUAUCCAGGUAAAAAAAAUGACUUGGACAAAACAUUUACACAACACAUCUUAAUCAGCACUCACUUAUAAAGGUCUGCCAUAGACAGCAAUCUGAUGCUCCACCAUAACUAAAUUGGUUCUAACUAGCCCUAUGCACUAUAAAAAAAACAAAAACAUUCUUGCUGAGACUUACACUACCCUUUGCAACUUCAUCAAUAAGUACAAACACAAACAAUAUGAAAUCAAGUGAAACAAUCAAAACAUCUGUAGGAUGCCCAGACCACAAUAGCACAUAUAGGUAACACAACAGAAAUCCCAGUACAUGGAAUAAUAGUAGCUUAUCUGCUUAAUGUAAUAAUAUUGUUUACUUUGCAUCUAUUUUGUUCUAAUAUUACAAAUAUAUGUCCAUAGUUUCAAUCUUGUUUCCCUCUGCCUGACCUAAAUCAUUUUCUGUGCAAAAGUAGCAGCUCUGUAUUUUCUCAAUGGUAUCUAAAUUUAUUAAAUUAAGUAAUAUUUAACUCGUUGAUUACUAAACAAUACAGAAAUAACAGUAUGAGAAGGGAACAAAUGUGAAAUGUGCAAAUUGCAACCUUGCACAUCUGGAUGUCUGUAAUAAUGCAAUAUUUCUAUCAAAUAUUAAUGUUUUCUAAUUAAGAUCUGAAAUGUGAAAGUUGCAACCUUACACUUCCACAAUUGGACGUCUUUACUAAUGCGAUAUUUCUAUAAAUCUUAAAGUUUCCUGUUAAGAAUUUUCUAUCUUAAAGUCACAUCCACCUUGUUUCACAUCUAUAUUUUCCAAGUAAAGAAAAGACAGAGUUAGGACUGAAACUAUCCAGUGCAACCCUUAAAUCCCUCAGAGCAACUUAAAUGCCCGAGAUGGAUUACGAACCUAUUAUUCUCAUUAGUGGUUCGAUUACAAACAGAGGAGCCUAUACACUGUAUCAAAAAAGCCACCAAUACACUUAAACUAAUUAUACAAGACUGCCAUAGUGCUAGUGAACCCAAUAGACAGAACAGAAAUGUGUAGAAAAAAAGCUGAUCAGGAAAUCAAACCUUUGAUACCAUCUGUACAAUUGCUUCUGUGUCCGUAUGGAGAAACUUGUGAGCAAAUCCUAGAAAAUGCAUAACCAAGGAACUAUAGAACAAAUAGUUGAUCAACACAAAGCCUUGCCAGGAACUAGAAUAUCCACUUGAAGAAGACUGUACUUCCUUUUUAGUACCAUUGCUCGACACCCCAGCAUUUACAUCUAGACCAGAAAAAUCUUCAGAGCUAAUGUUCCAAGGUUCUAUGUAGUUAAUCCAAAGGGAAAACACCUGAGAUGCAUUCUUGAUAGAAGUCUCCAUUGGGCAAUAUAUAAACGUCCUCAAUAUAAACCGGUACAAUGGCCUCUUAAUCAAUGCAUUCCAAGAACCAACAGAACGAUUACC